ACAGCGCAAAAGCCGCGAGGCUUGCACCGCACAGGACGCCUCGCGCGUCCACAUGAGCGAGCGGGCUAAGGUCUGAGUACUCUAAUCCCCCUCGAUUGACCCUAGCUGGGUCCGGCCUUCGCCAGCUGGCGCGACGUAUCAGCAACUUAGCCGUAUCCUGUGGUCCUGGAGAAGCUCCGUGCAACACUGACAGAGCAGGCUCACAGUAGCAUGUACUCUACAGAGUCACCAUGUCGCUGGCGAGUGUGGGCCUAACAGUAAUGCAAUCGCACGAGGGGAGGGACAAGAUAUGGCUUUGGGACACGUCGCGGGGAUAGGGCAGGUUCACCUUGCAUGCAUGCGCGCCGCCGUGCGCCGGCCUUCGUCGUUGUCGCAGUGCCCGCCUUUGCCGGGGCAGGGUGCUCACUGUGGGCGCGUGUAUCCCAUUGAGGGGUGUAUGCCCUGUAAAGUGGCAACGACAACGAGAGGGGGCUGUAUAUUCGUAUAGAGUGCGUGCGGUUGCCUGUCCAUCAGUUCACUUCGCGGCUCGCUGGGCACAGCUCCCGCGAAACUCGAUUCAGACUACUCUUGCGCUGU
RNAcentral lists this RNase P RNA (576 nucleotides) under Daedalea quercina L-15889. RNAcentral describes it as "Nuclear RNase P". It matches the Rfam family "Nuclear RNase P". From Rfam's summary of the family: Ribonuclease P (RNase P) is a ubiquitous endoribonuclease, found in archaea, bacteria and eukarya as well as chloroplasts and mitochondria. Its best characterised activity is the generation of mature 5'-ends of tRNAs by cleaving the 5'-leader elements of precursor-tRNAs. Lineage: Eukaryota; Fungi; Basidiomycota; Agaricomycetes; Polyporales; Fomitopsidaceae. The record is from Rfam by way of RNAcentral.